Long non-coding RNA from Dreissena polymorpha, 1145 nucleotides. RefSeq lists it as uncharacterized. NCBI's taxonomy places the organism in Eukaryota, Metazoa, Mollusca, Bivalvia, Myida, Dreissenidae. The record is from RefSeq and is a predicted model, not a curated record. The transcript is spliced from 4 exons.
CACAAUCAGUGCGUUCAGUAAGUAUAACGUUUCAAGAUGGCGGAGCGAAUUGCAUGGUUGUUGUUUCUACUCGAUGGAUUCGCAUAUAAUUCGGAAAUAGAUCAGAUUGGGAUCAAUAACUUUAUUGCAUACGAUCAUUUACAUGUAUUACCAGGUGUGUGUUGCCAGUAAUGAUUGAAGAUAUGCCAAACAAAUUGUGGCUCUCUAUACAGACAGAUUUCAGGUCUCAAUUUCGACUUCAAAGGUCAACAUAUCACUGAUAUCAGGAAUUCUGUGAAUUUGUGGCACCAUGUAUGGAACGUGAGCGCAAAAUGUCUGUUGGAAAAAGGAUAUUGGAAUAAGCAAAGGGACUCAACAUUACACAGUCAUUUCAACAUGUAGAGUCUUGUCAGCAAUGAUGGAGCAGUACAUCAGAUUUCCAGAAUCUCGUCAUGAGCUUAAGAUCAUUGCCUAUGGAUUUCAUCAAUGAUGUAAAAUGAUUGGACUGUUGAAUGAUGGAACCCACAGUGCAUGUCCUGCUUCAACAUCUGAGCAUAGGUCCUUGUUUAUCGGCAGUUUAGUUCUUCAAGCAGUCUGUGACAGUAACUUUAAAUGUUUGGACAUAUGCCCUGGAUGGCCAAGUUCUGUGCAUGAUGCCCAUUUAAAUAGGAACGGCCCAGUGGCGCAUUAAAUGGACAAUCGUUCGAAUGUUCUGGAGGAUUCAGCUUACCGCCUGACAAGAAAUCUUGCUUUUUGUUCCGUAUCGAGGCCAUGGACAUUUGUAUCAUUUGCAAAAAGAUACUGCGAUAUUUGUGCCUUUGUUCAUGCUUUAUAGUUGAUUCACAAUUGGAAGCCAUAACCUGUUUUAUAGGAUGGUGUUAGUGGGACAAUGAAUUUUGUAAAGAUUUAAAGACUGGAAAAGAUAAUUAAAAGUCAAAAGAGUUCUGCUAUUGUUAAGCAUGCUUUAUUGAUUUGUAAUGUUAUAAAAAUAGCAUUAUUAACAGAAUAAAAUGUCCAUAAUUUGAAUAUUCUUCUGUUUUCAGCAACAUUUAAUUUGAUAUAGUACAAAAUGCUGCAUCAUGUUAUAUCAUGAUCCGUUUUGUGAACAAUGACCUUUCAAUGUAUAUUUAAUAAUUUGUCAAUGGGUGUUACACGCAUUAGCCCUA